GGGAAUCUGCCCUUGGGUCUGGAAUAACUUCUGGAAACGGAAGCUAAUACCGGAUGAUGACGUAAGUCCAAAGAUUUAUCGCCCAGGGAUGAGCCCGCGUAGGAUUAGGUAGUUGGUGGGGUAAAGGCUCACCAAGCCGACGAUCCUUAGCUGGUCUGAGAGGAUGAUCAGCCACACUGGGACUGAGACACGGCCCAGACUCCUACGGGAGGCAGCAGUGGGGAAUAUUGGACAAUGGGCGAAAGCCUGAUCCAGCAAUGCCGCGUGAGUGAUGAAGGCCUUAGGGUUGUAAAGCUCUUUUACCCGGGAUGAUAAUGACAGUACCGGGAGAAUAAGCCCCGGCUAACUCCGUGCCAGCAGCCGCGGUAAUACGGAGGGGGCUAGCGUUAUUCGGAAUUACUGGGCGUAAAGCGCACGUAGGCGGCUUUGUAAGUCAGGGGUGAAAGCCUGGAGCUCAACUCCAGAACUGCCUUUGAGACUGCAUCGCUUGAAUCCAGGAGAGGUCAGUGGAAUUCCGAGU
This 520-nucleotide ribosomal RNA is filed under the name uncultured bacterium. RNAcentral describes it as "bacterial SSU rRNA". It matches the Rfam family "Bacterial small subunit ribosomal RNA", at positions 120 to 674 of the family's 1533-position model. The record is from RNAcentral.